ACCUACCCGGUAGGGUAGGGUCCGGGUAGCUCGUAUUGAAAAUUGGGUAGGGUCCGGGUAUCAAAAUAAAGAACCGGUGAAAUCCGGUUCCGUUUCUGGUUCCAACAUACAAGGUACCCAAAAUCGAAACCGGAACCAAUAUCUGGAACCGAAUGGUAAUUUCUAAAGAAAAAGAAAAAAAGAAAAAGAAAGAGGUAAAGUCAGUCUCAGGAGUCAGGAAGACAGGAAGGAACACUGCUCAACUUCCGUCUCCAACUCUGUAACCUAAAUCGGCUUUCGUCUUCGAAUCUCCACUCCAGCUCCUCUCCGUCGCUCGCCAGCCUCGCUUCUUGUCUCCAAGUGUGCUCGUGAUCCCAUUUCCCGCUGUGAUCAUGGAACUCCAUGCAAGAUCUGUUUUUUGCUUCAAAUAAAUUCAUCUGCCGCCAACUUGUAACCUAUUUUGCACAUAGGGAGAGUUUGAGUUUCAUCGACCUCUUAAUGAUUGUCAGUAAGACGUCAGUAGGAGAGAAAUAAGAAUGCCAGUGACCUUGGAUGAUUUUGCAGUAUAAUUUAGUAGAACUGAAUUUGGAUUCAUUCAUUUCGGUUGAAUGUAACUCUGUGGGUGGCGGUGGGUUUGUGCUAUAGUUCAUUGUUCGAGGGCCAAGUUCUUCCUUUUUUACUUUUUGUGACAUCUUCACUGAUUGCCAAGAAUAUGUGAAUGAUUUAUAGUUCAUAAAACCAUCUGAUUCUGCUAUGAAGCUAUGGGUCGCUUAUUUUUGAAUAAAAAUAAUAGAGAUGAAGAGGAAACAAAGCAACGUACAAGGUAAAAUUUUUAGAAAAUUAACCAAAACUUUUAAAAUCCGCGAAUGAUAACAAAGAGCCCCCUGUUCUUAAACUCGUGCAAUUCAAUAUAGUACUACAACCAUCUUUAAAAAUUGAGCGCUCUGAGCUGGACGAGAAAAUAUAAAACCAGAUAGAACAAAGGAAGCAAGUUGUAAGUUACAGGAUCAAUGCCAACUCUACAGGUUGGGGCUAGCACAUCAUUUAGCCAUUCACAGGGAGUAGGAACUCCCAAAUUACCAACCCGCAUAAGAAUCCAACUGGGGCUCAAUUGCUGCCAUGAAUAAUUUUUGUGAUUUAUAAUUUUCGCUGACUGCCAUGAAUAUCUUCACUGCUUCAGGAUGGGUGUUUCCCUUAUCGAACCGGGCCAUACAAAUAUUUGAUGGUUCUUUUCCAUUUUGCUUGAACACUUUCUCGUUAUUCCAAUAUAGUAAUGUAUAAAUCUGGUUAUUAUG
Non-coding RNA from Punica granatum (pomegranate), 1274 nucleotides. Lineage: Eukaryota; Viridiplantae; Streptophyta; Magnoliopsida; Myrtales; Lythraceae. The record is from RefSeq and is a predicted model, not a curated record.